RNAcentral lists this unclassified non-coding RNA (236 nucleotides) under plant metagenome. Its description in RNAcentral is "partial contains small subunit ribosomal RNA, internal transcribed spacer 1, and 5.8S ribosomal RNA". The record is from RNAcentral.
UUUCCGUAGGUGAACCUGCGGAAGGAUCAUUACUGAGUGAGGGCCCCUCGGGGUCCAACCUCCCACCCGUGUUUAACGAACCUUGUUGCUUCGGCGGGCCCGCCUCACGGCCGCCGGGGGGCAUCUGCCCCCGGGCCCGCGCCCGCCGAAGCCACCUGUGAACGCUGUCUGAAGUAUGCAGUCUAAGACAAUUAUUAAAUUAAUUAAAACUUUCAACAACGGAUCUCUUGGUUCCG